Molecule: ribosomal RNA, 465 nt
Filed under: Vreelandella stevensii
Lineage: Bacteria; Pseudomonadati; Pseudomonadota; Gammaproteobacteria; Oceanospirillales; Halomonadaceae
Description: partial 16S ribosomal RNA
Rfam family: Bacterial small subunit ribosomal RNA
Source: RNAcentral
CCUACGGGGGGCAGCAGUGGGGAAUAUUGGACAAUGGGGGGAACCCUGAUCCAGCCAUGCCGCGUGUGUGAAGAAGGCCCUCGGGUUGUAAAGCACUUUCAGUGAGGAAGAACGCCUGGUGGUUAAUACCCAUCAGGAAAGACAUCACUCACAGAAGAAGCACCGGCUAACUCCGUGCCAGCAGCCGCGGUAAUACGGAGGGUGCGAGCGUUAAUCGGAAUUACUGGGCGUAAAGCGCGCGUAGGUGGCUUGAUAAGCCGGUUGUGAAAGCCCCGGGCUCAACCUGGGAACGGCAUCCGGAACUGUCAAGCUAGAGUGCAGGAGAGGAAGGUAGAAUUCCCGGUGUAGCGGUGAAAUGCGUAGAGAUCGGGAGGAAUACCAGUGGCGAAGGCGACCUUCUGGACUGACACUGACACUGAGGUGCGAAAGCGUGGGUAGCAAACAGGAUUAGAUACCCCUGUAGUC